CCGGGAUGCAGAUGUCAGAGCUCUUGCAAACAAGGAUCGAAUUGGAAGGGUAUUGAAUUUAGGAGGCAGGUCUUUUCCAUCAUUUCCAAUGGAUGCAUGGAUAGGCAAAUUCGCAACUUUAGCAACAAAAUCAUGCUCCUCGACUUCAAUGAGGCAUGAUUUUUCAUGGAAUUCAGGGAUUGACNUCAUGGAAUUCAGAGGUUGACAAUAAAAUUAAAGAAUGAUGAGGAUAAUAUUCUUGAAGCAUCCCAAG
RNAcentral lists this unclassified non-coding RNA (253 nucleotides) under Hevea brasiliensis (rubber tree). Lineage: Eukaryota; Viridiplantae; Streptophyta; Magnoliopsida; Malpighiales; Euphorbiaceae. The record is from RNAcentral.